AUGUAAUAUGAGGCAGGCGUAACCUGUGAAUGGGGACGAAGUCUGUAUGUAUUAUUUUUUUCAUUCAAAAUGUUGAUAAAAGAAACGAAUAUACGUGCGUAACGUUCCCGAUUUUGGUUCUGUUGUUAGGGAAUUAGCUGUGACGUUCUUUAAGUUAUGACGUCAUAUUCGAUGUAAACAAAAGAAACGCUUUCAUCAGGUAACGUAACGGUUUUUUUUCAUAUCAAACAAUUAUUAAAAUUGAAUUUGUAUUGAGAUCCAAUCUUAUGUUUUACUAGACUGAUAAAUAUAAAAAAAAUAUCAAAGUCUCAUGCAAACAAGACAGAUUUCUGCGCAAAUGCGGGAAAACCGGAACAGGAACUAGAUCUGAAAAAAAACGUUAACGAUUUUGAGUUCAUUAGUACAAUGAAAAAUUCGGGAAAUUUUCCCAGAUUUUUUUUUUUUUUUUUUUUUUAUUGAUUUUUCUACCGUAAUUGGGGACUUCGUCCCCAUAU
Molecule: long non-coding RNA, 494 nt
Filed under: Mytilus galloprovincialis (Mediterranean mussel)
Lineage: Eukaryota; Metazoa; Mollusca; Bivalvia; Mytilida; Mytilidae
Source: RNAcentral